RNAcentral lists this non-coding RNA (99 nucleotides) under Microvirga massiliensis. Its description in RNAcentral is "TPP riboswitch (THI element)". It matches the Rfam family "TPP riboswitch aptamer (THI element)", at positions 11 to 88 of the family's 105-position model. Rfam says of the family: Vitamin B(1) in its active form thiamin pyrophosphate (TPP) is an essential coenzyme that is synthesised by coupling of pyrimidine and thiazole moieties in bacteria. The previously detected thiamin-regulatory element, thi box was extended, resulting in a new, highly conserved RNA secondary structure, the THI element, which is widely distributed in eubacteria and also occurs in some archaea. The record is from RNAcentral. Lineage: Bacteria; Pseudomonadati; Pseudomonadota; Alphaproteobacteria; Hyphomicrobiales; Methylobacteriaceae.
CUCCAGGGGUGUCCCGCCAAGGGGCUGGGAUACUGUUGGCCGAAGGCAGCACAGUGACCCUUUGAACCUGAUCCGGAUCAUGCCGGCGAAGGGACAGGU